Molecule: ribosomal RNA, 619 nt
Filed under: Trichoderma virens
Lineage: Eukaryota; Fungi; Ascomycota; Sordariomycetes; Hypocreales; Hypocreaceae
Description: eukaryotic LSU rRNA
Rfam family: 5.8S ribosomal RNA (bases 236-389)
Source: RNAcentral
AAAAGGUCUCGUUGGUGACCAGCGGAGGGUCAUUACCGAGUUUACAACUCCCAAACCCAAUGUGAACGUUACCAAACUGUUGCCUCGGCGGGAUCUCUGCCCCGGGUGCGUCGCAGCCCCGGACCAAGGCGCCCGCCGGAGGACCAACCAAAACUCUUAUUGUAUACCCCCUCGCGGGUUUUUUACUAUCUGAGCCAUCUCGGCGCCCCUCGUGGGCGUUUCGAAAAUGAAUCAAAACUUUCAACAACGGAUCUCUUGGUUCUGGCAUCGAUGAAGAACGCAGCGAAAUGCGAUAAGUAAUGUGAAUUGCAGAAUUCAGUGAAUCAUCGAAUCUUUGAACGCACAUUGCGCCCGCCAGUAUUCUGGCGGGCAUGCCUGUCCGAGCGUCAUUUCAACCCUCGAACCCCUCCGGGGGGUCGGCGUUGGGGAUCGGCCCUUUACGGGGCCGGCCCCGAAAUACAGUGGCGGUCUCGCCGCAGCCUCUCCUGCGCAGUAGUUUGCACACUCGCAUCGGGAGCGCGGCGCGUCCACAGCCGUUAAACACCCCAAACUUCUGAAAUGUUGACCUCGGAUCAGGUAGGAAUACCCGCUGAACUUAAGCAUAUCAAUAAGCGGAGGA